RNAcentral lists this transfer RNA (68 nucleotides) under Thylacodes squamigerus. RNAcentral's name for it is "tRNA-Arg". Lineage: Eukaryota; Metazoa; Mollusca; Gastropoda; Littorinimorpha; Vermetidae. The record is from RNAcentral.
GUGUGAGAAGCGAAGCAUUGCAUAUGAUUUCGGCUCAUAGUUUGGGGACACAAGCACCUCUUCACACA